GUGGGGAAUAUUGGACAAUGGGGGGAACCCUGAUCCAGCCAUGCCGCGUGUGUGAAGAAGGCCUUUUGGUUGUAAAGCACUUUAAGCGAGGAGGAGGCUACCGAGAUUAAUACUCUUGGAUAGUGGACGUUACUCGCAGAAUAAGCACCGGCUAACUCUGUGUCAGCAGCCGCGGUAAUACAGAGGGUGCAAGCGUUAAUCGGAUUUACUGGGCGUAAAGCGCGCGUAGGUGGCCAAUUAAGUCAAAUGUGAAAUCCCCGAGCUUAACUUGGGAAUUGCAUUCGAUACUGGUUGGCUAGAGUAUGGGAGAGGAUGGUAGAAUUCCAGGUGUAGCGGUGAAAUGCGUAGAGAUCUGGAGGAAUACCGAUGGCGAAGGCAGCCAUCUGGCCUAAUACUGACACUGAGGUGCGAAAGCAUGGGGAGCAAACAGGAUUAGAAACCCUGGUAGUCC
This 451-nucleotide ribosomal RNA is filed under the name uncultured bacterium. Its description in RNAcentral is "bacterial SSU rRNA". It matches the Rfam family "Bacterial small subunit ribosomal RNA", at positions 354 to 796 of the family's 1533-position model. The record is from RNAcentral.